Molecule: non-coding RNA, 84 nt
Organism: Aspergillus flavus NRRL3357
Lineage: Eukaryota; Fungi; Ascomycota; Eurotiomycetes; Eurotiales; Aspergillaceae
Source: Rfam
GCCGGGCUAGCUCAAUCGGUAGAGCGUGAGACUCUUAGUCAUCACGGUAUCUCAAGGUUGCGGGUUCGACCCCCGCGUUCGGCU